UUUCCGUAGGUGAACCUGCGGAAGGAUCAUUACCGAGUUGAUUCGAGCUCCGGCUCGACUCUCCCACCCUCUGUGUACCUUACCUCUGUUGCUUUGGCGGGCCGCGGUCCUCCGCGGCUGGCCCCCCUCGCUGGGGGCUGGCCCGCGCCCGCCAGAGGACUCCAAAACUCCAGUCAGUAAACGUCUCAGUCUGAAAAACAAGUUAAUAAACUAAAACUUUCAACAACGGAUCUCUUGGUUCUGGCAUCGAUGAAGAACGCAGC
RNAcentral lists this unclassified non-coding RNA (263 nucleotides) under uncultured fungus. Its description in RNAcentral is "sequence contains ITS1, 5.8S rRNA gene". The stretch from base 215 to 263 matches the Rfam family "5.8S ribosomal RNA", at positions 1 to 49 of the family's 154-position model. The record is from RNAcentral. Lineage: Eukaryota; Fungi.